AUUCCUUGCAACUCUUCCAGCUUCGGUGGUGUCGGAAGACCAAGAGCAAGAAUCAGUGCAGUUGCAGAAGGAGAAAGAUGAUCCACAGAAAGUGGAGUCUCAUGAUUGGUCCGGCAACCAUACUGGGCUCCAUCGUUGUAACGGUGGCGGUUGCGAAUUUCAUCUUCGUUAAAAACGCCCCCUUCCUUAAACCAGAGGAAAGGAAGCAAGAGACGCCAUUGAUGAAAUAAGAGUUUGGAUCGUGGAGGCAUGCCUAAGAAUGUUCUUUAGUUUUGUCUGUUGAUGUGGGGGCUUUGGCUUCAUAAAUGAUUUAUAUCACUCUAGAUUCUCCACUAAGCGACUUAAAGUGCAUUCCUUCAAUUUCAUGGGCAUAGGUGCUUAUGGGCAACUGUAAGGAUUACUAACUUAAAAAAUGAAAAAAAGAAAAGAAGAAUUUCUGUUGAAGAUAA
Molecule: long non-coding RNA, 449 nt
Organism: Macadamia integrifolia
Lineage: Eukaryota; Viridiplantae; Streptophyta; Magnoliopsida; Proteales; Proteaceae
Exons: 2
Source: RefSeq, a predicted model, not a curated record